AUGAACGCUGGCGGCGUGCCUAAUACAUGCAAGUCGAGCGAACAGACGAGGAGCUUGCUCCUCUGACGUUAGCGGCGGACGGGUGAGUAACACGUGGAUAACCUACCUAUAAGACUGGGAUAACUUCGGGAAACCGGAGCUAAUACCGGAUAAUAUAUUGAACCGCAUGGUUCAAUAGUGAAAGACGGUUUUGCUGUCACUUAUAGAUGGAUCCGCGCCGCAUUAGCUAGUUGGUAAGGUAACGGCUUACCAAGGCAACGAUGCGUAGCCGACCUGAGAGGGUGAUCGGCCACACUGGAAUUGAGACACGGUCCAGACUCCUACGGGAGGCAGCAGUAGGGAAUCUUCCGCAAUGGGCGAAAGCCUGACGGAGCAACGCCGCGUGAGUGAUGAAGGUCUUCGGAUCGUAAAACUCUGUUAUUAGGGAAGAACAAAUGUGUAAGUAACUAUGCACGUCUUGACGGUACCUAAGCAGAAAACCACGGCUAACUACGU
RNAcentral lists this ribosomal RNA (495 nucleotides) under uncultured bacterium. RNAcentral's name for it is "partial 16S ribosomal RNA". It matches the Rfam family "Bacterial small subunit ribosomal RNA", at positions 29 to 506 of the family's 1533-position model. The record is from RNAcentral.